This 504-nucleotide unclassified non-coding RNA is filed under the name uncultured Glomus. RNAcentral describes it as "SSU rRNA". It matches the Rfam family "Eukaryotic small subunit ribosomal RNA", at positions 569 to 1078 of the family's 1831-position model. The record is from RNAcentral. Lineage: Eukaryota; Fungi; Glomeromycota; Glomeromycetes; Glomerales; Glomeraceae.
AGCAGCCGCGGUAAUUCCAGCUCCAAUAGCGUAUAUUAAAGUUGCUGCAGUUAAAAGCUCGUAGUUGAAUUUCGGGACUAAUAUGUCGGUCGUGCCUCGGUACGUACUGGUUUAUUGGUUUCUCCUUUCUGAAGAACCAUGAUGUCAUUUAUUUGGUGUCGUGGGGAAUCAGGACUGUUACUUUGGAAAAAUUAGAGUGUUUAAAGCAGGCUCACGCUUGAAUACAUUAGCAUGGAAUAAUGAAAUAGGACGUUUGAUUCUAUUUUGUUGGUUUCUAGGAUCGACGUAAUGAUUAAUAGGGAUAGUUGGGGGCAUUAGUAUUCAAUUGUCAGAGGUGAAAUUCUUGGAUUUAUUGAAGACUAACUACUGCGAAAGCAUUUGCCAAGGAUGUUUUCAUUAAUCAAGAACGAAAGUUAGGGAUCGAAGACGAUCAGAUACCGUCGUAGUCUUAACCAUAAACUAUGCCGACUAGGGAUCGGAUGAUGUUAAUUUUUAAUGUACUCA